Molecule: ribosomal RNA, 540 nt
Filed under: uncultured bacterium
Lineage: Bacteria
Description: partial 16S ribosomal RNA
Rfam family: Bacterial small subunit ribosomal RNA
Source: RNAcentral
UGGGGAAUUUUGGACAAUGGGCGCAAGCCUGAUCCAGCCAUGCCGCGUGCGGGAAGAAGGCCUUCGGGUUGUAAACCGCUUUUGUCAGGGAAGAAAUCUUCUGAGUUAAUACCUCGGGAGGAUGACGGUACCUGAAGAAUAAGCACCGGCUAACUACGUGCCAGCAGCCGCGGUAAUACGUAGGGUGCAAGCGUUAAUCGGAAUUACUGGGCGUAAAGCGUGCGCAGGCGGUUUUGUAAGACAGAGGUGAAAUCCCCGGGCUCAACCUGGGAACUGCUUUGUGACUGCAAGGCUUGAGUGCGGCAGAGGGGGAUGGAAUUCCGCGUGUAGCAGUGAAAUGCGUAGAUAUGCGGAGGAACACCGAUGGCGAAGGCAAUCCCCUGGGCCUGCACUGACGCUCAUGCACGAAAGCGUGGGGAGCAAACAGGAUUAGAUACCCUGGUAGUCCACGCCCUAAACGAUGUCAACUGGUUGUUGGGAAGGUUCCUUCUCAGUAACGUAGCUAACGCGUGAAGUUGACCGCCUGGGGAGUACGGCCGC